GCAUCAUCUCGUUGGCUGCGUACAAUAAGUGGUGGAUAAAGGAUAAGGCCUAUUGUAUUGUGCGUGCAUGCCCGAGAGAUGAUCAUAUUAUUUUGGUGAUCCCAAAUCAUGCGUCCAUCCUUAGAUGACGUUUUGAAU
Molecule: ribosomal RNA, 138 nt
Filed under: Dendrobium devonianum
Lineage: Eukaryota; Viridiplantae; Streptophyta; Magnoliopsida; Asparagales; Orchidaceae
Description: partial 28S ribosomal RNA
Source: RNAcentral